GUACAUGUAGCUCAGUGGUAGAGCGUCCGACGGUGUGCGGAAGGUCAUAGGUUUGACUCCUGUUGAGAGAACUCA
Molecule: transfer RNA, 75 nt
Filed under: Desmophyllum pertusum
Lineage: Eukaryota; Metazoa; Cnidaria; Anthozoa; Scleractinia; Caryophylliidae
Description: tRNA-Thr
Rfam family: tRNA (bases 8-63)
About the family: Transfer RNA (tRNA) molecules are approximately 80 nucleotides in length. Their secondary structure includes four short double-helical elements and three loops (D, anti-codon, and T loops).
Source: RNAcentral